CAUGUUGAAACACCGGUUCCCAUAAAAUCACCAAAUUUAAGCAACAUAGAGCCUGGUCAGUACCUAGAUGGGUGACUGGUUGAGAAUACCAGGUGUUGUAAG
Molecule: non-coding RNA, 102 nt
Organism: Acanthosepion pharaonis
Lineage: Eukaryota; Metazoa; Mollusca; Cephalopoda; Sepiida; Sepiidae
Source: the annotation of a GenBank genome assembly